GCUGUGGAGACAGAGCUGGGCACCGUCAGAAGAACCAGUGCAGACGCUGCUCGUGUCCAGGAGGAACGCCCAUCAGCCCUGGAAGGUUCCGCCCCCCCCAGCACGCGGAACCUUCGGGAACUGAAAAAGGAAAGAACCCUGAAAGUUCACAGCCUUCGAGGAUCUCGGGUAAAUGUCUGGUGUUGAGACUUCCAGUCCCGGCAGAGCGACCACAGCAAAAGUGACCACACGUGUCUGGAGAGGUUCCUCCGCGAGGUCUCUUGGGGCCGCUGGGUGCGGCCUGACCCCACCAUUCUCCCAAUGACACCAAAACCUCCCCGAUUCCACAGGACACGGGUACUUAAUGUGUCCCUUGCACUGAAUACACUGUGUUAAGUGCUGAGUAAACACAGGCGAAUAAAACCUAAA
Long non-coding RNA from Suricata suricatta (meerkat), 408 nucleotides. RefSeq lists it as uncharacterized. Lineage: Eukaryota; Metazoa; Chordata; Mammalia; Carnivora; Herpestidae. The record is from RefSeq and is a predicted model, not a curated record. The transcript has 2 exons.